Galeopterus variegatus (Sunda flying lemur) is the source of this 466-nucleotide long non-coding RNA. RefSeq lists it as uncharacterized. The transcript has 3 exons. The record is from RefSeq and is a predicted model, not a curated record. NCBI's taxonomy places the organism in Eukaryota, Metazoa, Chordata, Mammalia, Dermoptera, Cynocephalidae.
ACUAGAAGGAUCUUUUAAUGGUGUCCAAGAGAAUCACCAUUUAGGAAGUUUGCCUCUGGUGACCUUUACAAAAGGAUGGAGACUGGACAAAUACAUACUUCACACGGGGAAGCUUGGGGACCAUUACAAACUUCAUGUUCAACUAAGAGACAUUAAACAUAGCAAUAUGAUUCAGGAAGAUAUCUUUGAAGAAUUAACCAAAACAACCAACAGAAGGCCUUGAGAAGACUGAAACCUAUCUGGAAUAGCUGUCUGUGGAAGGGAUUUGCAUCCUCCUAUGAAAGCGCUCCAAAAAUGACCUUAAGGAGAUGAAGUGGAGAAACAUCUUUUAAAUUUUACACUUGCCUUUCCCCUGCAUUGUCUUUGGAUGAUCAUUUCCUUCCCGUUCACCCAAAAGUCUGCUACAGCAGCUCAGACCACUAGUGUGGUGUCUCAGAGGUACAAUUGGGGUAGCAGGAAGGCCCUG